AGUGAACGCUGGCGGUAGGCCUAACACAUGCAAGUCGAACGGCAGCACAGUAAGAGCUUGCUCUUACGGGUGGCGAGUGGCGGACGGGUGAGGAAUACAUCGGAAUCUACUUUUUCGUGGGGGAUAACGUAGGGAAACUUACGCUAAUACCGCAUACGACCUACGGGUGAAAGCAGUGGAUCUUCGGACCUUGCGCGAUUGAAUGAGCCGAUGUCGGAUUAGCUAGUUGGCGGGGUAAAGUCCCACCAAGGCGACGAUCCGUAGCUGGCCUGAGAGGAUGAUCAGCCACCCUGGACCUGAGACCCGGUCCAGCCUCCUCCGGGAGGCAGCAGUGGGGAAUCUUGGACAAUGGGCGCAAGCCUGCUCCAGCCAUCCCGCGUGGGUGAAGAAGGCCUUCGGGUUGUAAAGCCCUUUUGUUGGGAAAGAAAAGCAGCAGGUUAAUACCCCGCUGUUCUGACGGUACCCAAAGAAUAAGCACCGGCUACCUUCGU
RNAcentral lists this ribosomal RNA (491 nucleotides) under uncultured bacterium. RNAcentral's name for it is "partial 16S ribosomal RNA". It matches the Rfam family "Bacterial small subunit ribosomal RNA", at positions 29 to 506 of the family's 1533-position model. The record is from RNAcentral.